RNAcentral lists this ribosomal RNA (784 nucleotides) under Strophingia sp. 24_2_2 LS-2020. RNAcentral's name for it is "partial small subunit ribosomal RNA". The record is from RNAcentral. Lineage: Eukaryota; Metazoa; Arthropoda; Insecta; Hemiptera; Liviidae.
UUUUUAAUGUGAUUAAUGAUGAAAAGCGGAUUUGAAAGUAAAAUGAUUAAAGAGUAAUUUAAUGAAUAAAGAUUCUAAAAUAUGUACACAUUGCCCGUCACUCUUGCUUAAGGUAAGACAAGUCGUAACAUAGUAGAUGUACCGGAAGGUGUAUCUGGAAUGGGAGUAAAUAGCURAGGAUUUAAGUAUAUUAUUUACACCAAUAUGAUAUUUAUAUAAUUUUACUUUUAAUUUAAUUAUUUAAGGAGAAUAAAGUUAGUAAAUUAUAAGAAAUUUAUCUGUGAAGGGGAGAUCACAUUUAAAUUUCUUAUAAUGUAAAACUACUUUACCUUUUGUAUCAGGGUUAAUUUAAACUUAAUUUUAUAUUUAAUUUUCUCGAAAUGGAAAGAUUUAGGUUAAUUUAAUUUUAAUAUUUAAAAAUUAAGAUAGAAAUUAUCUUAGGUUUGAUAUAAAUUUAGCUUUCUUAUAUCUAGUUUCUUUAUAGUUUGAUUUAAUCAAUUUAAUUUCUGAAUCUAUUGGUUGUAGUAAUAAAUUAUAGUUAUGGGGAUAAUCUUGUAAUUUAUUUUAUAGCUUAGGAAUUUAUUGUUUAUUUUUUAGGCUUAGAAUUWGCUUUUGUGUGUAAAAAUUAUAUUAAUAAUUUAAUAAUAUUUUAAAAUAGCUUUAUNNNGAUGUAAMRUUGUUCCRUUAWAUAAACUAAUUUUMUUAAAAAUGMCUGAAKUAGUAGAAARUWYAAAUASUAGUYAAGAAYUCAGCAACUUUWCCUUYCGUUUGUUUAUCAAAAACA